UACGUAGGUGGCAAGCGUUGUCCGGAAUUAUUGGGCGUAAAGCGCGCGCAGGUGGUUUCUUAAGUCUGAUGUGAAAGCCCACGGCUCAACCGUGGAGGGUCAUUGGAAACUGGGGAACUUGAGUGCAGGAGAGAAGAGUGGAAUUCCACGUGUAGCGGUGAAAUGCGUAGAGAUGUGGAGGAACACCAGUGGCGAAGGCGGGUCUCUGGGCAACUCCUGACGCUGAGGCGCGAAAGCGUGGGGAGCAAACGGG
This 253-nucleotide ribosomal RNA is filed under the name uncultured bacterium. RNAcentral's name for it is "partial 16S ribosomal RNA". It matches the Rfam family "Bacterial small subunit ribosomal RNA", at positions 524 to 776 of the family's 1533-position model. The record is from RNAcentral.